Molecule: ribosomal RNA, 800 nt
Filed under: Agrococcus jenensis
Lineage: Bacteria; Bacillati; Actinomycetota; Actinomycetes; Micrococcales; Microbacteriaceae
Description: bacterial SSU rRNA
Rfam family: Bacterial small subunit ribosomal RNA
Source: RNAcentral
GAGCUUGCUCCUCCGGAUUAGUGGCGAACGGGUGAGUAAUACGUGAGCAAUGUGCCCUUGACUCUGGGAUAAGCGCUGGAAACGGCGUCUAAUACCGGAUACGACGACCGGAGGCAUCUCCUGGUCGUGGAAAGAACUUCGGUCAAGGAUCAGCUCACGGCCUAUCAGCUAGUUGGUGAGGUAACGGCUCACCAAGGCGACGACGGGUAGCCGGCCUGAGAGGGUGACCGGCCACACUGGGACUGAGACACGGCCCAGACUCCUACGGGAGGCAGCAGUGGGGAAUAUUGCACAAUGGGCGCAAGCCUGAUGCAGCAACGCCGCGUGAGGGACGAAGGCCUUCGGGUUGUAAACCUCUUUUAGCAGGGAAGAAGCGAAAGUGACGGUACCUGCAGAAAAAGCACCGGCUAACUACGUGCCAGCAGCCGCGGUAAUACGUAGGGUGCAAGCGUUGUCCGGAAUUAUUGGGCGUAAAGAGCUCGUAGGCGGUUUGUCACGUCUGCUGUGAAAACCCGAGGCUCAACCUCGGGCUUGCAGUGGGUACGGGCAGACUAGAGUGCGGUAGGGGAGAUUGGAAUUCCUGGUGUAGCGGUGGAAUGCGCAGAUAUCAGGAGGAACACCGAUGGCGAAGGCAGAUCUCUGGGCCGUAACUGACGCUGAGGAGCGAAAGCAUGGGGAGCAAACAGGCUUAGAUACCCUGGUAGUCCAUGCCGUAAACGUUGGGAACUAGAUGUGGGGACCAUUCCACGGUCUCCGUGUCGUAGCUAACGCAUUAAGUUCCCCGCCUGGGGAGUACGGCC